UAGCGCGGUAGAGAAGCCUGGAGUUCUCGCCGGGCCCAUAACCCGGAAGUCGCAUGGUUCAAAUCCUGCCCGCGCUAU
RNAcentral lists this transfer RNA (78 nucleotides) under uncultured archaeon. RNAcentral's name for it is "tRNA-Met(cat)". It matches the Rfam family "tRNA". From Rfam's summary of the family: Transfer RNA (tRNA) molecules are approximately 80 nucleotides in length. Their secondary structure includes four short double-helical elements and three loops (D, anti-codon, and T loops). Further hydrogen bonds mediate the characteristic L-shaped molecular structure. tRNAs have two regions of fundamental functional importance: the anti-codon, which is responsible for specific mRNA codon recognition, and the 3' end, to which the tRNAs corresponding amino acid is attached (by aminoacyl-tRNA synthetases). tRNAs cope with the degeneracy of the genetic code in two manners: having more than one tRNA (with a specific anti-codon) for a particular amino acid; and 'wobble' base-pairing, i.e. permitting non-standard base-pairing at the 3rd anti-codon position. The record is from RNAcentral.